AGUGAACGCUGGCGGUAGGCCUAACACAUGCAAGUCGAACGGCAGCACAGUAAGAGCUUGCUCUUACGGGUGGCGAGUGGCGGACGGGUGAGGAAUACAUCGGAAUCUACUUUUUCGUGGGGGAUAACGUAGGGAAACUUACGCUAAUACCGCAUACGACCUACGGGUUAAAGCAGUGGAUCUUCGGACCUUGCUCGAUUGAAUGAGCCGAUGUCGGAUUAGCUAGUUGGCGGGGUAAAGGCCCACCAAGGCGACGAUCCGUAGCUGGUCUGAGAGGAUGAUCAGCCACACUGGAACUGAGACACGGUCCAGACUCCUACGGGAGGCAGCAGUGGGGAAUAUUGGACAAUGGGCGCAAGCCUGAUCCAGCCAUACCGCGUGGGUGAAGAAGGCCUUCGGGUUGUAAAGCCCUUUUGUUGGGAAAGAAAAGCAGCAGGUUAAUACCCCGCUGUUCUGACGGUACCCAAAGAAUAAGCACCGGCUAACUUCGUG
RNAcentral lists this ribosomal RNA (492 nucleotides) under uncultured bacterium. RNAcentral's name for it is "partial 16S ribosomal RNA". It matches the Rfam family "Bacterial small subunit ribosomal RNA", at positions 29 to 507 of the family's 1533-position model. The record is from RNAcentral.